This 711-nucleotide ribosomal RNA is filed under the name Triticum aestivum (bread wheat). RNAcentral describes it as "partial small subunit ribosomal RNA". Lineage: Eukaryota; Viridiplantae; Streptophyta; Magnoliopsida; Poales; Poaceae. The record is from RNAcentral.
AUGAUGGCGGCGCCGAGCGACCUCGCCGGGUUGAUGCCCGUGCCGGUGAUGGGGAUCGUCGCCAGCCCCGCAUAUCGCGCCCAGGCACUGCAUCGCCAUGUAGAACACCGCCCUGGUGAGCGACAGCUUCCGGGCCAGGAACAGCCCGAAGGUGACCGCGGGGUUGAUGUGGCCGCCGGAGAUGCCGGCGGUGCAGUAGACGAGCACGAAGAUCAUGCCGCCGAAGCUCCAGGCGAUGCCCUGGAUGCCCACCGUGCCGCACUUGGACCCCGACGGGUUGCCCACCACGCCCAUCACGGUGAGCACCGAGAUGUAGAGGAAGAGGAAGGUGGCCAGGAACUCGGCGAUGCCGGCCCGGUAGAAGGACCAGGAGGUGAGCUCCUCCGCCUCGAAGAGGGGCGCCGGGGGCGGCUCCUUGUAGUCCUUCUCGUCCGCGCCGCCGCCCUGCGCCGCCGUGCCGAUGGGCUGGCGCUCCGAGUAGCGGUUCGCGCCCAGGCGCACGUCCUCCUCCUUGCCCUCCAUUGCCGCCGCUCGAGCUUGGCUUGGUUGCUGCGCGGAGGAGAAGAUGUAGAUGGGUGCGUGAGAGAUGGAGAGAUGAGGAAUGGGAGUGGGUUUGGAGUGCCUCUUAUAGAGGGGGCCAAUCAUGGCCGCUCUGUUAUCCUCUCCUCUGCAUGGUGUGUUGUGUCUUGUGUGUGUGUGUGUGUGUCAUGA